This 577-nucleotide ribosomal RNA is filed under the name uncultured Ruegeria sp. RNAcentral describes it as "bacterial SSU rRNA". It matches the Rfam family "Bacterial small subunit ribosomal RNA", at positions 28 to 655 of the family's 1533-position model. Lineage: Bacteria; Pseudomonadati; Pseudomonadota; Alphaproteobacteria; Rhodobacterales; Roseobacteraceae. The record is from RNAcentral.
AACAACGCUGGCGGCAGGCUAACACCUGCAGUUAGCGCGCCUUCGGGUGAGCGGCGGACGGGUUAGUAACGCGUGGGAACGUGCCCUUCUCUACGGAGUAGCCUCUGGAAACGGAGAGUAAUACCGUAUACGCCCUUUGGGGGAAAGAUUUAUCGGAGAAGGAUCGGCCCGCGUUAGAUUAGGUAGUUGGUGGGGUAAUGGCCUACCAAGCCUACGAUCUAUAGCUGGUUUUAGAGGAUGAUCAGCAACACUGGGACUGAGACACGGCCAGACUCCUACGGGAGGCAGCAGUGGGGAAUCUUAGACAAUGGGGGCAACCCUGAUCUAGCCAUGCCGCGUGAGUGAUGAAGUGCCUUAGGGUCGUAAAGCUCUUUCGCCUGUGAUGAUAAUGACAGUAGCAGGUAAAGAAACCCCGGCUAACUCCGUGCCAGCAGCCGCGGUAAUACGGAGGGGGUUAGCAGUUGUUCGGAAUUACUGGGCGUAAAGCGCGCGUAGGCGGAUUAGAAAGUUAGGGGGUGAAAUCCCGGGGCUCAACCCCGGAACUGCCUCCAAAACUGCUAGUCUAGAGUUCGAGAGA